Molecule: ribosomal RNA, 450 nt
Filed under: uncultured bacterium
Lineage: Bacteria
Description: partial 16S ribosomal RNA
Rfam family: Bacterial small subunit ribosomal RNA
Source: RNAcentral
GUGGGGAAUUUUGGACAAUGGGCGCAAGCCUGAUCCAGCCAUUCCGCGUGCAGGAUGAAGGCCUUCGGGUUGUAAACUGCUUUUGUACGGAACGAAAAGCCUCUGGUUAAUACCCGGGGGUCAUGACGGUACCGUAAGAAUAAGCACCGGCUAACUACGUGCCAGCAGCCGCGGUAAUACGUAGGGUGCGAGCGUUAAUCGGAAUUACUGGGCGUAAAGCGUGCGCAGGCGGUGAUGUAAGACAGUUGUGAAAUCCCCGGGCUCAAACUGGGAACUGCAUCUGUGACUGCAUUGCUGGAGUGCGGCAGAGGGGGAUGGAAUUCCGCGUGUAGCAGUGCAAUGCGUAGAUAUGCGGAGGAACACCGAUGGCGAAGGCAAUCCCCUGGGCCUGCACUGACGCUCAUGCACGAAAGCGUGGGGAGCAAACAGGAUUAGAAACCCUUGUAGUCC